UACGUAGGGUGCGAGCGUUGUCCGGAAUUAUUGGGCGUAAAGAGCUCGUAGGCGGUUUGUUGCGUCUAUCGUGAAAACCUGCGGCUUAACUGUGGGCUUGCGGUGGAUACGGGCAGACUUGAGUUCGGUAGGGGAGACUGGAAUUCCUGGUGUAGCGGUGAAAUGCGCAGAUAUCAGGAGGAACACCGGUGGCGAAGGCGGGUCUCUGGGCCGAUACUGACGCUGAGGAGCGAAAGCGUGGGUAGCAAACAGG
Molecule: ribosomal RNA, 253 nt
Filed under: uncultured bacterium
Lineage: Bacteria
Description: partial 16S ribosomal RNA
Rfam family: Bacterial small subunit ribosomal RNA
Source: RNAcentral